GAUGAACGCUGGCGGCGUGCCUAAUACAUGCAAGUCGAGCGAACAGACGAGGAGCUUGCUCCUCUGACGUUAGCGGCGGACGGGUGAGUAACACGUGGAUAACCUACCUAUAAGACUGGGAUAACUUCGGGAAACCGGAGCUAAUACCGGAUAAUAUAUUGAACCGCAUGGUUCAAUAGUGAAAGACGGUUUUGCUGUCACUUAUAGAUGGAUCCGCGCCGCAUUAGCUAGUUGGUAAGGUAACGGCUUACCAAGGCGACGAUGCGUAGCCGACCUGAGAGGGUGAACGGCCAAGUAGGAACUGGGACACGGUCCAGACUCCUACGGGAGGCAGCAGUAGGGAAUCUGCCGCAAGGGGCGAAAGCCUAACGGAGCAACGCCGCGUGAGUGAUGAAGGUCUUCGGAUCGUAAAACUCUGUUAGUAGGGAAGAACAAAUGUGUAAGUAACUAUGCACGUCUUGACGGUACCUAAUCAGAAAGCCACGGCUAACUACG
This 495-nucleotide ribosomal RNA is filed under the name uncultured bacterium. RNAcentral describes it as "partial 16S ribosomal RNA". It matches the Rfam family "Bacterial small subunit ribosomal RNA", at positions 28 to 505 of the family's 1533-position model. The record is from RNAcentral.